RNAcentral lists this ribosomal RNA (495 nucleotides) under uncultured bacterium. RNAcentral describes it as "partial 16S ribosomal RNA". It matches the Rfam family "Bacterial small subunit ribosomal RNA", at positions 28 to 523 of the family's 1533-position model. The record is from RNAcentral.
GAUGAACGCUGGCGGCGUGCUUAACACAUGCAAGUCGAACGAAGCAAUCUAACGGAAGUUUUCGGAUGGAAGCUGGAUUGACUGAGUGGCGGACGGGUGAGUAACGCGUGGGUAACCUGCCUCGCACUGGGGGACAACAGUUAGAAAUGACUGCUAAUACCGCAUAAGCGCACAGGACCGCAUGGUCUAGUGUGAAAAACUCCGGUGGUGUGAGAUGGACCCGCGUUUGAUUAGCUAGUUGGUGGGGUAACGGCCUACCAAGGCGACGAUCAAUAGCCGACCUGAGAGGGUGACCGGCCACAUUGGGACUGAGACACGGCCCAAACUCCUACGGGAGGCAGCAGUGGGGAAUAUUGCACAAUGGGGGAAACCCUGAUGCAGCGACGCCGCGUGAGUGAAGAAGUAUUUCGGUAUGUAAAGCUCUAUCAGCAGGGAAGAAAAUGACGGUACCUGACUAAGAAGCCCCGGCUAACUACGUGCCAGCCGCCGCCGUAA